This 118-nucleotide microRNA precursor is filed under the name Malus domestica (apple). RNAcentral describes it as "miR164b stem-loop (mdm-MIR164b)". Its record names the gene mdm-MIR164b. The record is from miRBase by way of RNAcentral. Lineage: Eukaryota; Viridiplantae; Streptophyta; Magnoliopsida; Rosales; Rosaceae.
GGGUGAGUAGUUCGUGUUGGAGAAGCAGGGCACGUGCAAAUUCUAGCUCGAGCAAUCCUUCAUCAGGAGCUUAAAAACUUUGCACUUGCUCRCCUUCUCCAACACAAGCUUCUCACCU